CGGGUGAGUAACGCGUGAGCAACCUGCCUUUCAGAGGGGAUAACGUUUGGAAACGAACGCUAAUACCGCAUGAUAUUAUCUUAUCGCAUGAUAGGAUGAUUAAAGGAGUGAUCCGCUGAAAGAUGGGCUCGCGUCCGAUUAGGUAGUUGGUGAGGUAACGGCCCACCAAGCCGACGAUCGGUAGCCGGACUGAGAGGUUGGACGGCCACAUUGGGACUGAGACACGGCCCAGACUCCUACGGGAGGCAGCAG
This 252-nucleotide ribosomal RNA is filed under the name uncultured bacterium. RNAcentral's name for it is "partial 16S ribosomal RNA". It matches the Rfam family "Bacterial small subunit ribosomal RNA", at positions 103 to 354 of the family's 1533-position model. The record is from RNAcentral.